This 552-nucleotide ribosomal RNA is filed under the name Poecilosclerida sp. TLL-2009a. RNAcentral describes it as "SSU rRNA". It matches the Rfam family "Eukaryotic small subunit ribosomal RNA", at positions 323 to 883 of the family's 1831-position model. Lineage: Eukaryota; Metazoa; Porifera; Demospongiae; Poecilosclerida. The record is from RNAcentral.
CGAUGGAACGGUAGUGGCCUACCAUGGUUGCACCGGGUGACGGAAAAUUAGGGUUCGAUUCCGGAAAGGGAGCCUGAGAAACGGCUACCACAUCCAAGGAAGGCAGCAGGCGCGCAAAUUACCCAAUCCCGACUCGGGGAGGUAGUGACAAUAAAUAACAAUGCCGGGCUAUUGUAGUCUGGCAAUUGGAAUGAGUACAAUCUAAAUCCCUUAACGAGGAACAAUUGGAGGGCAAGUCUGGUGCCAGCAGCCGCGGUAAUUCCAGCUCCAAUAGCGUAUAUUAAAGUUGUUGCAGUUAAAAAGCUCGUAGUUGGAUUUCGGGGUGGCCUGCCUGGUCCACCGCAAGGAGAGUACUGGUCAGCCGCCCUUCCUCUCGAAAGCCCCGACUGUUCUUCAUUGCAGUGGUCGGGUAGUUCGGGACGUUUACUUUGAAAAAAUUAGAGUGUUCAAGGCAGGCUCUCGCCUGAAUACAUUAGCAUGGAAUAAUGGAAGAGGACCUCGGUCCUAUUUUGUUGGUUUCUAGGGCCGAAGUAAUGAUUAAGAGGGACAGUU